UGCUGGUCCCCUCGCAACGAUAAACCGUUAAUCUGGUCAGGUCCGGAAGGAAGCAGCCAC
Molecule: signal recognition particle RNA, 60 nt
Filed under: Oceanospirillaceae bacterium
Lineage: Bacteria; Pseudomonadati; Pseudomonadota; Gammaproteobacteria; Oceanospirillales; Oceanospirillaceae
Description: partial signal recognition particle sRNA small type
Rfam family: Bacterial small signal recognition particle RNA
About the family: The signal recognition particle (SRP) is a universally conserved ribonucleoprotein involved in the co-translational targeting of proteins to membranes. Archaeal SRP consists of a 7S RNA and homologues of the eukaryotic SRP19 and SRP54 proteins.
Source: RNAcentral